This is a non-coding RNA of Populus trichocarpa (black cottonwood), 156 nucleotides long. The record is from Rfam. Lineage: Eukaryota; Viridiplantae; Streptophyta; Magnoliopsida; Malpighiales; Salicaceae.
UCUAGAACUCGAGAUAUGGGCUGAACACUAAACAGUAUCUGGGCUGUAGGAUAGAUUCGGACUUCUCCGUUGUUGCUACAAUUUGAACUUGAAAAUGGCCUUUUUGAAUCUUGAAAUCCUCAUGAAAGUUUUAGGCCUAUGUCUUAGCUUUCCAUC